Long non-coding RNA from Dendroctonus ponderosae (mountain pine beetle), 430 nucleotides. RefSeq lists it as uncharacterized. NCBI's taxonomy places the organism in Eukaryota, Metazoa, Arthropoda, Insecta, Coleoptera, Curculionidae. The transcript has 2 exons. The record is from RefSeq and is a predicted model, not a curated record.
AAUGUAUGCAAGUAUGAUAUGAUAGUGAUGAUAGUUUUGUCAAUGAGUAUAUAAGUAUAUUAAUGUAGGUAUGUGGGAGAGUGCUGAGUAGGUCAAACUGAUUUAAAUAUAAAACAUGUUUUGUAUUCAGUCACAGGCAAUUCAAGGUAAUAGGGUUAGGUUUCCGAACUAACAAAUUUAAAGUGAAUGUGUAAGUGGUAAAAAAACGUCAAAAACAGCAAAACGUGUUCCGUUUUUUUCCUGGAAAACUUGAAUGUACCCAUUAGAAAUGUCGCCUACCUCAAAUAUUUCUAAUCCGGAUAACUUUCCAAAUAAUCCUGCACUUGCUGCACACCCUCCAGCCAGUAUGGCGUAAUGCAUUUGCAUGUUGUAUUAUAUUGUUUGAAUAGUGUACUAACCUAAUUUGUAAUACAAUCAUUUACAUAUUUCA